UAACCUGCCCUGGAUGGGGAAUAACAGCUGGAAACAGCUGCUAAUACCGCAUAAUGCAGUUGGGCCGCAUGGCUCUGACUGCCAAAGAUUUAUCGCUCUGGGAUGGACUCGCGUCUGAUUAGCUAGUUGGUGGGGCAACGGCCCACCAAGGCGACGAUCAGUAGCCGGACUGAGAGGUUGGCCGGCCACAUUGGGACUGAGACACGGCCCAGACUCCUACGGGAGGCAGCAG
This 232-nucleotide ribosomal RNA is filed under the name uncultured bacterium. RNAcentral's name for it is "partial 16S ribosomal RNA". It matches the Rfam family "Bacterial small subunit ribosomal RNA", at positions 122 to 354 of the family's 1533-position model. The record is from RNAcentral.